RNAcentral lists this ribosomal RNA (254 nucleotides) under uncultured bacterium. RNAcentral's name for it is "partial 16S ribosomal RNA". It matches the Rfam family "Bacterial small subunit ribosomal RNA", at positions 524 to 776 of the family's 1533-position model. The record is from RNAcentral.
UACGGAGGGUGCAAGCGUUAUCCGGAUUCACUGGGUUUAAAGGGUGCGUAGGUGGGCAGUUAAGUCAGUGGUGAAAUCUCCGGGCUUAACCCGGAAACUGCCAUUGAUACUAUCUGUCUUGAAUACCGUGGAGGUAAGCGGAAUAUGUCAUGUAGCGGUGAAAUGCUUAGAUAUGACAUAGAACACCAAUUGCGAAGGCAGCUUACUAGACGUACUAUUGACACUGAGGCACGAAAGCGUGGGGAUCAAACAGG